CGGAGGGAGCUAGCGUUGUUCGGAAAUACUGGGCGUAAAGCGCACGUAGGCGGCGUCGCAAGUCAGGGGGUGAAAUCCCGGGGCUCAACCCCGGAACUGCCCUUGAAACUGCAAUGCUAGAAUAUUGGAGAGGCAAGUGGAAUUCCGAGUGUAGAGGUGAAAUUCGUAGAUAUUCGGAAGAACACCAGUGGCGAAGGCGACUUGCUGGACAAUUAUUGACGCUGAGGUGCGAAAGCGUGGGGGAGCAAACAGGAUU
RNAcentral lists this ribosomal RNA (256 nucleotides) under uncultured bacterium. RNAcentral describes it as "partial 16S ribosomal RNA". It matches the Rfam family "Bacterial small subunit ribosomal RNA", at positions 526 to 779 of the family's 1533-position model. The record is from RNAcentral.